Molecule: ribosomal RNA, 466 nt
Filed under: uncultured bacterium
Lineage: Bacteria
Description: partial 16S ribosomal RNA
Rfam family: Bacterial small subunit ribosomal RNA
Source: RNAcentral
UGGGGAAUUUUGGACAAUGGGCGAAAGCCUGAUCCAGCAAUGCCGCGUGUGUGAAGAAGGCCUUCGGGUUGUAAAGCACUUUUGUCCGGAAAGAAAUCCUUGGCUCUAAUACAGUCGGGGGAUGACGGUACCGGAAGAAUAAGCACCGGCUAACUACGUGCCAGCAGCCGCGGUAAUACGUAGGGUGCAAGCGUUAAUCGGAAUUACUGGGCGUAAAGCGUGCGCAGGCGGUUUGCUAAGACCGAUGUGAAAUCCCCGGGCUCAACCUGGGAACUGCAUUGGUGACUGGCAGGCUAGAGGUAUGGCAGAGGGGGGUAGAAUUCCACGUGUAGCAGUGAAAUGCGUAGGAGAUGUGGAGGAAUACCGAUGGCGAAGGCAGCCCCCUGGGCCAAAUACUGACGCUGCAUGCACGAAAGCGUGGGGAGCAAACAGGAUUAGAUACCCUGGUAGUCCACGCCCUAAAGCG